AGCUUCGACUCAAAACCAGCAUGUGAAUAAUCUUCACAUGCGUCACAUAGAUUAUGCUCGUCUUUCAUUUAAUCUCUUCUAUAGCGGCUAAAUCUGAUUCCUCGCUGUACAUAAAGUUAACAUUCGACAUUGUAUUGUAUCUGGGAACCUAUGCGGGUGCCAGUUUAUCUAUUUGCAGCUCACAUAAAAACGUGCUUUGGAAGUUCCAGCCGUUAAUUUACUGUAUUUUGGAAGACCUUGAUGUUAAUCAACAUGUCAGUUUCCAUAUACAAUAUCGUAAAAGCAGUUGUAUAUCAUUCCAUUUUAUGCAUUUUGAUUUCUUUAAGUUUGAUGAUCGCUUGCUUAUUUCGAAAUAAAUUGCUGAGAACAGGUUAAAUAUUUAACCUCGUAGCUUGAAUAGCACGUGCUUAUGAAUGUACAUGUAUAAUCGGUUUCCUUGAAUUCAUGUACAGUUUCAGUUUCGAUAUAGUUGUUUCUAGAACUCUUUCGCAAUGUUAAAUUACAAAAUGAAUGCAUCCGCACUGCGAUUAUGUCCUUUACAUACAUUUCAUGGUAGUCAUAUGUACAGAAUUUUUUUCCUACAUAUAAAUGGUAGAGGAUGUAACUUUCAAGACAGGUUAAUGGUUCACUGGAAUUUUAGGUUUUAUCAUGGAAGAACAUUAGUUUCUGGCCAACCUAAGUUAAAGUUGGAGUCAAUUAGCUCAAGCUACCCCUAACGGAAAAAUAGAGUUUGGACCAACCAUUCACAGAAUCUGGGUCAGGCCAAAAGAUUGAGCUCAGCUAAUGAAUGGUGUCGAGCUUGGCAAUACCAAUCUCACAUAACUGUGUCCAACUAGCAUUAGUGUGGUCCAUGUGAAAAGGAAAAAAGACUUUCACGCUCUUCUUGUUAGGUAGGGAGGAUUAAGAAUAUCCUAUUGAUUAAAGCUUCUCACACCUCCUAAAAAAAAGCAUGAAAAAAGGACUCGAAUCAUAUGAUUCCUUAGUCACCCAAAAUGAAAUGGGCGAUCUGUGAUUCUUAAUGUGUAAAGAUGCGUUGUUAGGUUCUCAUUUCCUUUUCCAUUGAGAUCGAACCUAAAUUUAUGCUCGACGGAUAACUGUCCACACAAUAAUAAAGAAUUCACAGAUUCUCAAAAAAAGAGCAAUAUGGUGGUACCUAGACAGUCCAGAUCCCUUGAGUGAAAGUCGGGUAUAUGUUGUCACUGCAAUCGCCCUAUUUAUGUUCCUGAUGAGAGGUUUGGUUUCUGACUCAAUUCGAACAACAGAAGUACACCACUACUAAUGUGCUUUGGGUGAUUUGCCGACAACUAGAGAUGUGGAGACUCUAAAAUGCAUUUUUUGUGCUGUAUGUAAGAGUGGAGAUGUGUGCUUUACCAAAUGAAAAUACAGAAAUUCAAUCUUCAAAAACUCACGAUGCAUUACAUGAAUUAGAAUGGGAAUUCAUUAGCCAUUAUAAGGCAUGUAACUAAUUAUAUUUCCUAAUCGCAGCUGAGGAGAGUGAUAAACUAUUAUUGGCAGCCAAAAAGAUUAGAAGGGCAACGAGCACGGACUUUGUGGUAUCUUUAGUUGCAGAUGAUUUUUCUCGAGCCAGCAAUACAUAUGUUGGAAGACUAAGGCAAAUCUCGCAUAAUACUUUGGUAGAUUGAUAUAUUUUUGAAAUAUUUUGUUCUAACUACAUUGAAAAUGUCUCAAUCAGGUCUAACUUUCUGGGGACAAAGUUCACCAUAUAUGACUGUGAACCUCCGAAUGAUGCUGCAGUGCACCAUAAUAGUAGGUCGAGUCGAAGGUUCAACACGAGGCAAGUAUCUCCAAGAUUACCUGCUUAUAACUACAAUGUAGCCACUAUUUCCUACGAACUCAAUGUUCUCCGCACAAGAGGUCCUAGGAGAAUGAAUUGUGUCAUGAGUUCAAUUCCGGUCUCUUCAAUUCAGGAGGGAGGCACUGCCCCGACACCAACAUCAUUUCCACAAUGUUAUGAUGACAAAUCGUCUUCCCUACGGAUUUCAGAAGGAAAGGACUCGGCCUUAAAUUUCAGCUCCCGAAAACUUUCAAGUUCAUCAUUAACGCCACCACUUUCUGGAGAGCCACUAGUUCUAAAAAACAAAGCUCCUAGAUGGCAUGAACAAUUGCAGUGCUGGUGCCUGAAUUUCAAGGGCCGUGUUACAGUAGCUUCUGUUAAAAAUUUCCAGCUUGUGGCUAAUGUUGAUCCAUCUCUCAACAUAUCAGCUGCAGAACAAGAAAAGGUAAUUUUACAGUUUGGAAAGAUCGGAAAAGACAUUUUCACCAUGGAUUAUCGCUACCCUCUCACUGCCUUUCAAGCCUUUUUAAUCUGCUUGAGCAGCUUCGACUCAAAACCAGCAUGUGAAUAAUCUUCACAUGCGUCACAUAGAUUAUGCUCGACUUUCAUUUAAUCUCUUCUAUAGCGGCUAAAUCUUAUUCCUCGCUGUACAUAAAGUUUACAGUCGACAUUGUAUUGUAUCUGGGAACCUAUGCGGGUGCCAGUUUAUCUAUUUGCAGCUCACAUAAAAACGUGCUUUGGAAGUUCCAGCCGUUAAUUUACUGUACUUUGGAAGACCUUGAUGUUAAUCAACAUGUCAGUUUCCAUGUACAAUAUCGUAAAAGCAGUUAUAUAUCAUUCCAUUUUAUGCAUUUUGAUUUCUUUUAAGUUUGAUGAUCACUUGCUUAUUUCGAAAUAAAUUUCUGAGAACAGGUUAAAUAUUUAAC
This 2721-nucleotide long non-coding RNA is filed under the name Olea europaea (common olive). RNAcentral's name for it is "long non-coding RNA (OEUR_LNC002587)". The record is from RNAcentral. Lineage: Eukaryota; Viridiplantae; Streptophyta; Magnoliopsida; Lamiales; Oleaceae.